AAAUUGAAGAGUUUGAUCAUGGCUCAGAUUGAACGCUGGCGGCAGGCCUAACACAUGCAAGUCGAGCGGAAACGACACUAACAAUCCUUCGGGUGCGUUAAUGGGCGUCGAGCGGCGGACGGGUGAGUAAUGCCUAGGAAAUUGCCUUGAUGUGGGGGAUAACCAUUGGAAACGAUGGCUAAUACCGCAUAAUGCCU
This 197-nucleotide ribosomal RNA is filed under the name Vibrio splendidus. RNAcentral describes it as "partial 16S ribosomal RNA". It matches the Rfam family "Bacterial small subunit ribosomal RNA", at positions 1 to 181 of the family's 1533-position model. Lineage: Bacteria; Pseudomonadati; Pseudomonadota; Gammaproteobacteria; Vibrionales; Vibrionaceae. The record is from RNAcentral.